CGAGAAGCUGACGUGGAUAGGAAGCUUGGAGUAUCUUGGAGGAUAUUUGAAGAAAAUAUCAAGUUUCCUCUAUCUUGGGAGAAGAUAAGGAAGGUGAAGAUUCUCAUGAAGAUUUGAAGAAAUCACAAGGAGGAUCUAGGCGAGGAGUAGCCGCAAGUCCUAUUAUGUAUAAAUAGGCGUAUGAAAAACCGUGUAGGGUUUUUAACACAACUGAGAGAAUACUUAGCAAAGGGUGAGCG
Molecule: long non-coding RNA, 239 nt
Filed under: Eutrema salsugineum
Lineage: Eukaryota; Viridiplantae; Streptophyta; Magnoliopsida; Brassicales; Brassicaceae
Description: long non-coding RNA (ESAL_LNC001758)
Source: RNAcentral